Molecule: long non-coding RNA, 707 nt
Filed under: Gossypium barbadense (sea-island cotton)
Lineage: Eukaryota; Viridiplantae; Streptophyta; Magnoliopsida; Malvales; Malvaceae
Description: long non-coding RNA (GBAR_LNC017540)
Source: RNAcentral
GAAAUCUUAACAAAUCAGAAACCCUAGUUGAUCCCUUGAGCCUUCGGUGCCGCUCCACGUCAACGAGUGCAUUGCCUGAGGCCUGUCUCUCCCCUUUCACUGAAAUGGCAAGGCGCGGCUCCCCAGCACCAUUGACCUUGCCAUGAAUACCUACAAAGAAGAAGACAGAGAACAAAAAACAAAAAUGACAGGAAAAAGCAAGAAAAAGAACCAAAUAUUCUAUAAUAUAUUGCUAUAAAAGUCAUAACAAUGGCAUGUAAUUUUUUACAGACACACAAGGAGUCAAAUACAAAAAAAGAAAAGUGACAAGUUUUAAAGGUAGUUCAUUUAUACUUUUUUUUUUGAAAAAUAAAUAAAUAAAAGAUAGGAAUUUUUUUAUUUACUUGAACACUGCCUCAUAUUCCACCGUCGUGAGUGGACGAGGACACCGUCUCCGAUAAAGGACGGCUCCCUCCUAGCAUGAAAAACCUCCAAAUCAUCCCUGGUUUGUUUGAGACCGCUGGGGUGUGGAGGUACCCAUCAAAAAUUACAGAGAAACCAAAAGGCUUCUAGGGUUUUUCUUAUUUUCUAUCAAGUUUUAAGAAAUAUCAAUCCUAGAUUUGGGUUCUGGGAGUUAAAACGAUCGAAAGGGACAUCGCUUCAUGGAUUUCGGCCACUGGGGAUGGCGGACCCCGUCGUCGACAACUGGUUGCCGCCAUGGGGGCUCG